AACAGGGUGCAGAGGGGGAAGGUUGGGGGGCGGGUUCUAGGGAUAGCAGGCUGGGGCGGAACAGGGUGCAGAGGGGGAAGGUUGGGGGCGGGUUCUAGGGAUCGCAGGCUGGGGGGGAACAGGGUACAGAGGGGGAAGGUUGGGGGCGGGUUCUAGGGAUCGCAGGCUGGGGGGGAACAGGGUACAGAGGGGGAAGGUUGGGGGCAGGUUCUAGGGAUUGCAGGCUGGGGGGGAACAGGGUGCAGAGGGGGAAGGCUGGGGCAGGUUCUAGGGAUCGCAGGCUGGGGCGGAACAGGGUGCAGAGAGGGAAGGUUGGGGGCAGGUUCUAGGGAUCGCAGGCUGGGGCGGAACAGGGUGAAGAGGGGGAAGGUUGGGGGCAGGUUCUAGGGAUCGCAGGCUGGGGGGGAACAGGGUGCAGAGAGGGAAGGUUGGGGGGCGGGUUCUAGGGAUCGCAGGCUGGGGGGGAACAGGGUGCAGAGGGGGAAGGUUGGGGGCAGGUUCUAGGGAUCGCAGGCUGGGGCGGAACAGGGUGCAGAGGGGGAAGGUUGGGGGCGGGUUCUAGGGAUCACAGGCUGGGGGGGAACAGGGUGCAGAGGGGGAAGGUUGGGGGCGGGUUCUAGGGAUCGCAGGCUGGGGCGGAACGGGGUGCAGAGGGGGAAGGUUGGGGGCGGGUUCUAGGGAUCGCAGGCUGGGGGGGAACAGGGUACAGAGGGGGAAGGUUGGGGGGCGGGUUCUAGGGAUCGCAGGCUGGGGGGGAACAGGGUGCAGAGGGGGAAGGUUGGGGGGCGGGUUCUAGGGAUCGCAGGCUGGGGCGGAACAGGGUGCAGAGGGGGAAGGUUGGGGGCGGGUUCUAGGGAUCGCAGGCUGGGGCGGAACAGGGUGCAGAGGGGGAAGGUUGGGGGCAGGUUCUAGGGAUCGCAGGCUGGGGCGGAACGGGGUGCAGAGGGGGAAGGUUGGGGGCGGGUUCUAGGGAUCGCAGACUGGGGCGGAACGGGGUGCAGAGGGGGAAGGUUAGGAGGCUAGCAGGGGGCUGCGGGUCGGGAGUGAGGGGCACCAGUAGAGCAGGAGAGGCAGGGUUGGGCUAGCAGGGGGCUGCAGGUCG
Gopherus flavomarginatus (Mexican gopher tortoise) is the source of this 1102-nucleotide long non-coding RNA. RefSeq lists it as uncharacterized. Lineage: Eukaryota; Metazoa; Chordata; Testudines; Testudinidae. The transcript is spliced from 11 exons. The record is from RefSeq and is a predicted model, not a curated record.